GACGAACGCUGGCGGCGUGCUUAACACAUGCAAGUCGAACGGUGAAGCUCCAGCUUGCUGGAGUGGAUCAGUGGCGAACGGGUGAGUAACACGUGAGCAACCUGCCCCUGACCCUGGAAUAAGCGCUGGAAACGGCGUCUAAUACUGGAUACGAGAAGGGUCCGCAUGGGCACUUUCUGGAAAGUUUUUCGGUUGGGGAUGGGCUCGCGGCCUAUCAGCUUGUUGGUGAGGUAAUGGCUCACCAAGGCGACGACGGGUAGCCGGCCUGAGAGGGCGACCGGCCACACUGGGACUGAGACACGGCCCAGACUCCUACGGGAGGCAGCAGUGGGGAAUAUUGCACAAUGGGCGAAAGCCUGAUGCAGCGACGCCGCGUGAGGGAUGACGGCCUUCGGGUUGUAAACCUCUUUCAGCAGGGAAGAAGCGAAAGUGACGGUACCUGCAGAAGAAGCACCGGCUAACUACGU
Molecule: ribosomal RNA, 467 nt
Filed under: uncultured bacterium
Lineage: Bacteria
Description: partial 16S ribosomal RNA
Rfam family: Bacterial small subunit ribosomal RNA
Source: RNAcentral